This 495-nucleotide ribosomal RNA is filed under the name uncultured bacterium. Its description in RNAcentral is "partial 16S ribosomal RNA". It matches the Rfam family "Bacterial small subunit ribosomal RNA", at positions 28 to 507 of the family's 1533-position model. The record is from RNAcentral.
GACGAACGCUGGCGGCGUGCCUAAUACAUGCAAGUAGAACGCUGAAGGAGGAGCUUGCUUCUCCGGAUGAGUUGCGAACGGGUGAGUAACGCGUAGGUAACCUGCCUGGUAGCGGGGGAUAACUAUUGGAAACGAUAGCUAAUACCGCAUAACAGUAGAUGUUGCAUGACAUUUGCUUAAAAGGUGCAAUUGCAUCACUACCAGAUGGACCUGCGUUGUAUUAGCUAGUUGGUGAGGUAACGGCUCACCAAGGCGACGAUACAUAGCCGACCUAAGAGGGUGAUCGGCCACACUGGGACUGAGACACGGCCCAGACUCCUACGGGAGGCAGCAGUAGGGAAUCUUCGGCAAUGGACGGAAGUCUGACCGAGCAACGCCGCGUGAGUGAAGAAGGUUUUCGGAUCGUAAAGCUCUGUUGUAAGAGAAGAACGAGUGUGAGAGUGGAAAGUUCACACUGUGACGGUAUCUUACCAGAAAGGGACGGCUAACUACGUG